CCGAAUUACCAACCAAAUUGUACGGGGUUGGAAUUGGGUUCAAAACGUUUAGGCUCUCCUGAUAUUGGUUUGCACACACUGUAAUCUAUAUCUAAAUAUCUACACUUAGCUACAGAUCCCCUACACUCAUACUGUGAGUGCCAAAUGAGAGUUUGGGAUAUUUGGUUACAUGUUUUCGUAGUCUUAAUGCAGCUAACACAACUCUGUAUGUCCUCACCUUUACCUUCCUGAAAAAUCACAAAAAUGCCUAAACACAUAAUAGAACAUAUUAUUUCAGAAGUCCUCAUUUCUACUCUUCGACCGUGCAACGGCACCUCAGCU
RNAcentral lists this long non-coding RNA (321 nucleotides) under Pelobates cultripes (western spadefoot toad). Lineage: Eukaryota; Metazoa; Chordata; Amphibia; Anura; Pelobatidae. The record is from RNAcentral.